UACGUUCCCGGGCCUUGUACACACCGCCCGUCACACCACGAAAGUCGGCAACACCCGAAGCCGGUGGCCUAACCCGCAAGGGAGGGAGCCGUCGAAGGUGGGGGCCGGUGAUUGGGGUG
RNAcentral lists this ribosomal RNA (119 nucleotides) under uncultured bacterium. Its description in RNAcentral is "partial 16S ribosomal RNA". It matches the Rfam family "Bacterial small subunit ribosomal RNA", at positions 1367 to 1482 of the family's 1533-position model. The record is from RNAcentral.